Gasterosteus aculeatus (three-spined stickleback) is the source of this 101-nucleotide non-coding RNA. The record is from Rfam. NCBI's taxonomy places the organism in Eukaryota, Metazoa, Chordata, Actinopteri, Perciformes, Gasterosteidae.
CCUUCGAUAGCUCAGUUGGUAGAGCGGAGGACUGUAGGCUGAUGUUCAAUGUGCAAUUAGCAGGUAUCCUUAGGUCGCUGGUUCAACUCCGGCUCGAAGGA